Molecule: long non-coding RNA, 386 nt
Filed under: Manihot esculenta (cassava)
Lineage: Eukaryota; Viridiplantae; Streptophyta; Magnoliopsida; Malpighiales; Euphorbiaceae
Description: long non-coding RNA (MESC_LNC007270)
Source: RNAcentral
CCAUGGACACACAAGCUUUCACCAAAAAGAACAAGGAAGAAAAGGAAAACUCAAAAACCCUAGAUCCUAAGAUAAAUCAGAAUUUACCUCACUUUGGCUCUGAUACCAACUGACGCGGAACCCUAUGGCACAAGCCUCAAACCCACACGCACAAGUAAAUACGGAAUCCAAAGAUCUGAUAAACCCACCUCCUAUGGCACCCCAAACUUAGAGUAGCUGAAACACCAAUGAUCGAAGGAUUUAGAUGAGAAUCCGACAAAUGCCACAACGAAUAGUUGAUAAGUUAGCCAAGAUUCCUGGUGCAAUUGAUGAAAGCAAAUCCUCACUCUCACUCAAAGCAAUACACGCCAAAGGCAUGAAAGAAAUUAUGAAAAGUUUGAUUAAAA